UGCGCCUUGCCAGCCCGCUCAGAAACUUAAAGGAAUUGACGGGGGCCCGCACAAGCGGAGGAGCAUGUGGUUUAAUUCGAUGAUACGCGAGGAACCUUACCUGGGGCUCGAACGUAAGAUGACUGUAGGUGAAAGCUUACAUCUCUUCGGAGCAUUUUACGAGGUGCUGCAUGGUUGUCGUCAGCUCGUGCCGUGAGGUGUCGGGUUAAGUCCCAUAACGAGCGCAACCCCUACCUUUAGUUGCCAUCAGGUUAAGCUGGGGACUCUAAAGGAACUGCCUACGCAAGUAGUGAGGAAGGCGGGGAUGACGUCAAAUCAGCACGGCCCUUACGUCCAGGGCUACACACGUGCUACAAUGGCCGAUACAGAGGGCAGCUACCUGGUGACAGGAUGCAAAUCUCCAAAGUCGGUCUCAGUUCGGAUCGGAGUCUGCAACCCGACUCCGUGAAGUUGGAUUCGCUAGUAAUCGCGCAUCAGCCAUGGCGCGGUGAAUACGUUCCCGGGCCUU
RNAcentral lists this ribosomal RNA (508 nucleotides) under uncultured Sphingobacteriales bacterium. RNAcentral describes it as "bacterial SSU rRNA". It matches the Rfam family "Bacterial small subunit ribosomal RNA", at positions 903 to 1382 of the family's 1533-position model. The record is from RNAcentral. Lineage: Bacteria; Pseudomonadati; Bacteroidota; Sphingobacteriia; Sphingobacteriales.